AAAAAAGAAGAAGAAGCUGCUGCUCCCAUACUGCUGUUGCAGUUCUCCUUCAUCUCACCUUACCAUUAUUUCUUUUUUUAAAACUAUUUUGUCGUUUUCAGCCGUUGUCAUCGUCGGCUCUCCCUUUUCCAUUCUCCUUUUACCAUUUUAUGGGUCUCUCUUUCUUUUUUCCAUUUUACCCUUUCUUCCAGAGCCAUCUCCCGGAGUCUCUAGCAGCUGCGUCCGCUCC
Molecule: long non-coding RNA, 229 nt
Filed under: Elaeis guineensis (African oil palm)
Lineage: Eukaryota; Viridiplantae; Streptophyta; Magnoliopsida; Arecales; Arecaceae
Description: long non-coding RNA (EGUI_LNC026728)
Source: RNAcentral